UGGCUGUGUCUCUAAAGAAGCCCUUGGUGAUC
This 32-nucleotide non-coding RNA is filed under the name Homo sapiens (human). The record is from RNAcentral. Lineage: Eukaryota; Metazoa; Chordata; Mammalia; Primates; Hominidae.